CACGUAGGGGGCAAGCGUUGUCCGGAUUUAUUGGGCGUAAAGAGCUCGUAGGCGGCUCGUCGCGUCGACCGUGAAAACCCGCGGCUUAACUGCGGGCUUGCGGUUGAUACGGGCGGGCUAGAGUUCGGUAGGGGAGACUGGAAUUCCUGGUGUAGCGGUGAAAUGCGCAGAUAUCAGGAGGAACACCGGUGGCGAAGGCGGGUCUCUGGGCCGAUACUGACGCUGAGGAGCGAAAGCGUGGGGAGCGAACAGG
RNAcentral lists this ribosomal RNA (253 nucleotides) under uncultured bacterium. RNAcentral describes it as "partial 16S ribosomal RNA". It matches the Rfam family "Bacterial small subunit ribosomal RNA", at positions 524 to 776 of the family's 1533-position model. The record is from RNAcentral.